UUCUUUCCUCCCAAGUGCUUGCACUCAAUUGGAAAGAGGAGUGGCGGACGGGUGAGUAACACGUGGGUAACCUACCCAUCAGAGGGGGAUAACACUUGGAAACAGGUGCUAAUACCGCAUAACAGUUUAUGCCGCAUGGCAUAAGAGUGAAAGGCGCUUUCGGGUGUCGCUGAUGGAUGGACCCGCGGUGCAUUAGCUAGUUGGUGAGGUAACGGCUCACCAAGGCCACGAUGCAUAGCCGACCUGAGAGGGUGAUCGGCCACACUGGGACUGAGACACGGCCCAGACUCCUACGGGAGGCAGCAGUAGGGAAUCUUCGGCAAUGGACGAAAGUCUGACCGAGCAACGCCGCGUGAGUGAAGAAGGUUUUCGGAUCGUAAAACUCUGUUGUUAGAGAAGAACAAGGACGUUAGUAACUGAACGUCCCCUGACGGUAUCUAACCAGAAAGCCACGGCUAACUACGUGCCAGCAGCCGCGGUAAUACGUAGGUGGCAAGCGUUGUCCGGAUUUAUUGGGCGUAAAGCGAGCGCAGGCGGUUUCUUAAGUCUGAUGUGAAAGCCCCCGGCUCAACCGGGGAGGGUCAUUGGAAACUGGGAGACUUGAGUGCAGAAGAGGAGAGUGGAAUUCCAUGUGUAGCGGUGAAAUGCGUAGAUAUAUGGAGGAACACCAGUGGCGAAGGCGGCUCUCUGGUCUGUAA
Molecule: ribosomal RNA, 698 nt
Filed under: uncultured Enterococcus sp.
Lineage: Bacteria; Bacillati; Bacillota; Bacilli; Lactobacillales; Enterococcaceae
Description: bacterial SSU rRNA
Rfam family: Bacterial small subunit ribosomal RNA
Source: RNAcentral